UCUCUCUCUCUUCUAGAGAGUUCUCAAAUGUUCCUCCUUCUCUCUAGAUUCUCUCUCUAAAUUUUCCAUGAUUUUUCGAUUUAAUCUCAACGUUUACAUGGUAUCAGAGCCUAGACGACGAUCCGAUUAUGUUUUUCUACAUCUCGUUGUUCUGGUUGAAGUCACUUUUGAGAUUUUUUGGGGGUGUUUCUGAGACCUUAUGGUCGAUGACGAUUCCGAUCUAAAUCGGAUGCUUUUCUGAGACUUUCUUCGUGAUAUCUGAGUAUAUCUUCUCCACUCGAACGUUCUGGGAGGUUUUCCGAUGAUUUUUGGGUGAUUUUUCGGUGACCUGUCGGCUUCUAGGGUUUCUGGUGGUUUAACCUAGCGUUUUACUGCUAUCCGGUGGCUCGAUUCUCACUCAGUGGAUGUUUUGGGUGCCUUUCCGAUAUCACUGACCACACUUCCAGUAAGGAUUUUGACGGUUACACCUAAGGUUUUGUACCUAGGGUUUUCUCUGUUAUUUGAAGGCCGAUCUUCUCCGGUCGCGAAGAAGGAGGGUAACUCUGUCCUUAUCUUGAGUAUUGUAUGCUUUGUGUUUGAUUAUCUGACUCCGUAUGUGAGUAUUUUGUUUUGUGUGUGAGUAUCUGGUUUGGUUAUACUCUGUUUGCUGAAAUUUUUUAAGUCGGUUCAUUGAUUAUGGCUUCUAAUACAAAUGCUGGUACCUCCUCCUCGGUAGACUCUUC
RNAcentral lists this long non-coding RNA (722 nucleotides) under Nicotiana benthamiana. Its description in RNAcentral is "long non-coding RNA (NBEN_LNC003192)". The record is from RNAcentral. Lineage: Eukaryota; Viridiplantae; Streptophyta; Magnoliopsida; Solanales; Solanaceae.